UCAAAUUUCCUUUCACUUGUGAAGACCUGUCUUUUCUGCUGUUGAUGUCCUGGGAAUUUCAAAGGCCCCGGCUGGCAAGCUUGCUGAGAGUCAUGGGACAAGAGGAGUACAAGUGAACAAUGGUCCAAUCUCGAGGGACAGCGCCAGUCAGGGUCACCCCUCUCGUGGCCUCCCCUUCCUUCCAACACAGCCUCGUCAUCUGUCGGGAACCAGGGAUUUCUCCCGGGCCUGGCACACCGUCUGUGCUAUACCACAGGCAGCUCUUGGAAUCGGGGGUCCCAUGGGCCCACCCCAAGCAAACAGCGAGGUACGCACAUCAGCCAGAGUCCCUCUUGGCACAUGUUAUAUGUGAAGCGCCAUGCUGAGGUGGUGAACAAGGCGUGAUGGGAUUUCCUUGGAUGCACGUGGCUAUGAGAAGCUCCCAUCACCCUCGGAAGUCCUGCGAUGCUCCUGCAACCCCUACUGCGAAGAACCUGGUCUGCUUGCACACCGUGGCAGGGAAGUGUGGAAUGGAUUCGGAGAACCAGGCUGUGGCUUAGGAAGGUGAGAAAUACUCCCUUAAGCCCCCUCAGCUUGAAGCUAAGAGC
Molecule: long non-coding RNA, 587 nt
Organism: Zalophus californianus (California sea lion)
Lineage: Eukaryota; Metazoa; Chordata; Mammalia; Carnivora; Otariidae
Exons: 3
Source: RefSeq, a predicted model, not a curated record